RNAcentral lists this unclassified non-coding RNA (206 nucleotides) under plant metagenome. Its description in RNAcentral is "partial contains small subunit ribosomal RNA and internal transcribed spacer 1". The stretch from base 1 to 46 matches the Rfam family "Eukaryotic small subunit ribosomal RNA", at positions 1786 to 1831 of the family's 1831-position model. The record is from RNAcentral.
AAGUCGUAACAAGGUCUCCGUAGGUGAACCUGCGGAGGGAUCAUUACAGAGUUCAUGCCCUUCGGGUAGAUCUCCCACCCCUGUGUUAUUAUUACUUUUUGCUUUGGCGGGCCGUCCGCAAGGCGUCAGCUCCGGCUGACCCGCGCCCCGGCCCAGAGGCCCAAAACUCUUUUAUCAGUGAUGUCGAGUACUAUAUAAUGUUAAAA